UGAAGGGUCAAAAAGGCAAAGGGUGUUUUAGAAGUUUAGCAGACAGCUUUUGGUACAAGGAAAAGAGAGGGAGAGCUGGAGAGAGGGAAACAGGGUGAAGAGGCAGGAAUCUGGCUCGCAUUAAGCUGGGAGGUUCCAACCAUUGAUUCGCUCUGGAAUUAUGGCUUAAAAAAAUUGCAAGACAUGGUUUAUUCAUGAGGGUUCUUUUUUUUUCUUAAGUAGCCACCCAAAGUUACACUUUGGUUCACCAAGACGAAGACUCAUCCUUCCUCUCUCUAUGGAUCUUUCAGAUGAAGAAAUUAAGGCUCAGGAGGGAGGAAAAAAAUAAAAGAAAGAAUUGUCCAAGGUCACCAAGGCAUCUGGACUCCCAUAUGUUGAGCUACUUCUGCUUGUGGGGCAGCUGCAAUACAUGAAUUCUUCACUACAUGUCAUCAGAAUUUCAAAUGGAUUUGAGUUCCCAUAGGAUUAAGAUCCACUGGCCUAAAAUCAGGGGGAAUUGAUGGGAGAAUUUCUGUAUUGACCUGUGAAAUUGAGCACCAAAGAAACAAUGCCGUGGACUCGCAGAGUGCAGCUAUCACACCAUUUGGUCCAGGAAACCCAAUUCAAAUGUCUACGGUGACAAAAGGUGAAUUUCAAUGAGUGAGUUCAGCCAAGUGUAAGAAAAAUCUUAGUGUUCAGGAGACAAUAUGGAGUAAGUGACAAUGUAGUAGGUCAGAUAGUGGAGAGCAAUGCAUAUCCCAGAUGAGGAUCCAUAGCUCAGCUGCAUCCAUUGUUGCCGUAGUGGAAUCUUGACCCAACUUUGCUGAAUCUUUCAGGAUUUUUGAGUAAAGUCAGUAUAUUGUUUUGUUCUUACACAGCUAUAAUGAAAUACCUGAAACUGGGUAAUUUAUAAAGAAAAGAGGUUUAACUGGGUCACAGUUCCACACGCUGUACAGGAACCAUGGCUGGGGAGGUCUCAGGAAACUUACAAUCAUGGCAGAAGGUUAAGGGGGAAGCAGGCA
Molecule: long non-coding RNA, 1001 nt
Filed under: Homo sapiens (human)
Lineage: Eukaryota; Metazoa; Chordata; Mammalia; Primates; Hominidae
Description: HSALNT0370677
Source: RNAcentral